RNAcentral lists this ribosomal RNA (1008 nucleotides) under human gut metagenome. RNAcentral's name for it is "bacterial LSU rRNA". It matches the Rfam family "Bacterial large subunit ribosomal RNA", at positions 1923 to 2925 of the family's 2925-position model. The record is from RNAcentral.
GUAAACGGCGGCCGUAACUAUAACGGUCCUAAGGUAGCGAAAUUCCUUGUCGGGUAAGUUCCGACCUGCACGAAUGGCGUAAUGAUGGCCAGGCUGUCUCCACCCGAGACUCAGUGAAAUUGAACUCGCUGUGAAGAUGCAGUGUACCCGCGGCAAGACGGAAAGACCCCGUGAACCUUUACUAUAGCUUGACACUGAACAUUGAGCCUUGAUGUGUAGGAUAGGUGGGAGGCUUUGAAGCGUGGACGCCAGUCUGCGUGGAGCCAACCUUGAAAUACCACCCUUUAAUGUUUGAUGUUCUAACGUUGGCCCCUUAUCGGGGUUGCGGACAGUGUCUGGUGGGUAGUUUGACUGGGGCGGUCUCCUCCCAAAGCGUAACGGAGGAGCACGAAGGUUAGCUAAUCCUGGUCGGACAUCAGGAGGUUAGUGCAAUGGCAUAAGCUAGCUUGACUGCGAGCGUGACGGCGCGAGCAGGUGCGAAAGCAGGUCAUAGUGAUCCGGUGGUUCUGAAUGGAAGGGCCAUCGCUCAACGGAUAAAAGGUACUCCGGGGAUAACAGGCUGAUACCGCCCAAGAGUUCAUAUCGACGGCGGUGUUUGGCACCUCGAUGUCGGCUCAUCACAUCCUGGGGCUGAAGUAGGUCCCAAGGGUAUGGCUGUUCGCCAUUUAAAGUGGUACGCGAGCUGGGUUUAGAACGUCGUGAGACAGUUCGGUCCCUAUCUGCCGUGGGCGCUGGAGAAUUGAGGGGGGCUGCUCCUAGUACGAGAGGACCGGAGUGGACGCAUCACUGGUGUUCGGGUUGUCAUGCCAAUGGCACUGCCCGGUAGCUAAAUGCGGAAGAGAUAAGUGCUGAAAGCAUCUAAGCACGAAACUUGCCCCGAGAUGAGUUCUCCCUGAGACUUUAAGUCUCCUGAAGGAACGUUGAAGACGACGACGUUGAUAGGCCGGGUGUGUAAGCGCAGCGAUGCGUUGAGCUAACCGGUACUAAUGAACCGUGAGGCUUAACCUU